GCGAGAGUUCGCUUCGCCUACCAAGCGUACCAACGCCGCAUUGUAGCAAACGAGGAGUCCAAGGUGGCGCAGCCUCUCGGGCCUCUCAUUUGCUGCGCUGCAGCGCUGGUUCGCUUGGUACGCCGAGCGCACUCUUGC
This is a microRNA precursor of Phytophthora ramorum (sudden oak death agent), 138 nucleotides long. It matches the Rfam family "MIR8788 microRNA precursor family". Lineage: Eukaryota; Oomycota; Peronosporomycetes; Peronosporales; Peronosporaceae. The record is from Rfam.